AGUUUCGAUCCUGGCGUCAGGACGAACGCUGGCGGCGUGCCUAACACAUGCAAAGUCGAACGGAGCUAUGCGCUGAACGGAGAGCAGCUUGCUGAAGGAAGUUCUUGUAUAGCUUAGUGGCGGACGGGUGAGUAACGCGUGAGCAACCUGCCUUUCAGAGGGGGAUAACGUUUGGAAACGAACGCUAAUACCGCAUAAGACCACACUUCCACAUGGGAGAGGGGUCAAAGGAGCAAUCCGCUGAAAGAUGGGCUCGCGUCCGAUUAGAUAGUUGGGGGGUAACGGCCCACCAAGUCGACGAUCGGUAGCCGGACUGAGAGGUUGAACGGCCACAUUGGGACUGAGACACGGCCCAGACUCCUACGGGAGGCAGCAGUGAGGGAUAUUGGUCAAUGGGGGAAACCCUGAACCAGCAAUGCCGCGUGAGGGAAGACGGUUUUCGGAUUGUAAACCUCUGUCCUCUGUGAAGAUAAUGACGGUAGCAGAGGAGGAAGCUCCGGCUAACUACGUG
Molecule: ribosomal RNA, 511 nt
Filed under: uncultured Anaerotruncus sp.
Lineage: Bacteria; Bacillati; Bacillota; Clostridia; Eubacteriales; Oscillospiraceae
Description: bacterial SSU rRNA
Rfam family: Bacterial small subunit ribosomal RNA
Source: RNAcentral